GGCCUAGUAGCUCAGUUGACUAGAGCGUUGGGUGUACUAAAGCCUUUCCUUUGCUGGUGUGGAUUUGAAUCCCACCGAGGCCA
RNAcentral lists this transfer RNA (83 nucleotides) under Schistocephalus solidus. It matches the Rfam family "tRNA". Rfam says of the family: Transfer RNA (tRNA) molecules are approximately 80 nucleotides in length. Their secondary structure includes four short double-helical elements and three loops (D, anti-codon, and T loops). Further hydrogen bonds mediate the characteristic L-shaped molecular structure. tRNAs have two regions of fundamental functional importance: the anti-codon, which is responsible for specific mRNA codon recognition, and the 3' end, to which the tRNAs corresponding amino acid is attached (by aminoacyl-tRNA synthetases). tRNAs cope with the degeneracy of the genetic code in two manners: having more than one tRNA (with a specific anti-codon) for a particular amino acid; and 'wobble' base-pairing, i.e. permitting non-standard base-pairing at the 3rd anti-codon position. The record is from Rfam by way of RNAcentral. Lineage: Eukaryota; Metazoa; Platyhelminthes; Cestoda; Diphyllobothriidea; Diphyllobothriidae.